RNAcentral lists this ribosomal RNA (2348 nucleotides) under Physarella oblonga. Its description in RNAcentral is "partial 28S ribosomal RNA". The stretch from base 1 to 1565 matches the Rfam family "Eukaryotic large subunit ribosomal RNA", at positions 2257 to 3401 of the family's 3401-position model. The record is from RNAcentral. Lineage: Eukaryota; Evosea; Eumycetozoa; Physariida; Physaraceae.
GAGUAACUAUGACUCUCUUAAGGUAGCCAAAUGCCUCGUCAUCACAAAAAAAGCAGUGCCACCGGACCCCCCCCCCCUUGGGUAAGGGGGGGGGGUUCAAAGGGUCUCCCCUUGGUAGCAAGGGGGGGGAUCCAAUGCCUCGUCAUCACAAAAAAGCAGUGCCAUCGGGCCCCCCCCCCCUUGGGUAAGGGGGGGGUCCAAAGGGUCCCCCCCCCCUGGGGGGGGAUCCAGGGUAGCCCUUUGAGUCGUUAGGGGUUCCCGUGAUGCCCUUUCGGGGGUAUCCGAAACCACUGGGUCUUCCCCCAUAUCGUGAUUUUAUAUGAGGGGGGGGGAAGCAUCCAGGAUGCCCUUUCGGGGGCGUCCGAAUCCUUUUAAAGACAUUUAAUUAGACAAAAGGACCCCGCAUGCGCUAAAGCCAGUGAUAGUCGAAGGAACCCCGUUCGGUGGGGUGCCUUUAGAAGCCAAAUUGCAAGGAGGGGAGGGAUCCUGGCCUGUAAGGCACGGGAGACCGCUUGACCCGACUAGCAGCCAAUCUGUCUGGGAACCGGUGCCAGCACCCCCCACCCGUUACGCCACUCUCCCUCGACGGGGGGAGGGAGGUAGGGAGGGGAAGGAGGCAUUGGGGAAAGGGCGGAAGGUUCAGAGACUGAACGGCCUCGAAGACUAGCAAACAGUCCACCCCCAAUUGACUCGGGAUCAGUAGAGACGUGUGGCUUGUCUGGGAAACCGGGCAUGGGCCAGUGGCCUCGCAUUACUCAGUACUGGGUUGUCAUCGCUUCCAACAAAGGGAAUGGAUCGGUGGCGGGGAGGGUAGUCACAGCCCCUGUUGUUAAUUUGUGACGCGCAUGAAUGGAUUAAUGAGAUUCCCACUGUCCCUACCUACUAUCUAGCGAAACCACAGCCAAGGGAACGGGCUUGGCACAAUUAGCGGGGAAAGAAGACCCUGUUGAGCUUGACUCUAGGCACAAACGCGAGGUGAUUCUAAAGGUGUAGCAUAGGUGGGAGGGCCCAUGCCCGACCUUGAAAUACCACCACUUUAGACAUUGCUUUGCUAAUGCUGUAACGAAUGAACGGCCCCCUGAUAUCCUGCUCGGAAGGGUGGGUAUUGGGUAAGGUCAUAUUCUAGUGCUUUCCGAGCUCGUAUGAUGGCUUGGGCUCUCUGGGAUAGUACUUUGGGACCGCAAACUGGGCUUCCGGGUUCGGUGCGUGUUGUUUCUGAGGGAACCAGAGAUCGCUUGGGCUGUCCUCUAUGGGGUCAAGGAUGGUACAUAAAGUCGUGUAGCAGACUCUUUGUGUUAGGGAGUUUGGCUGGGGCGGAAAACUGCUACAUGGCAACGGCAGUCUCCUAAGGUCCACUCAGAGACGACAGAAACUCUCGUAGAGCAUAAAGGCAAAAGUGGGCUUAACUCGCAUUUUAGUAGUAAUGUGAAGCAAGAAAUUGAGGCUUAACGAUCCUUAGCCGCGGGUGCCAGCCCACGCUUGAGGUGAGAGAAAAGUUACCACAGGGAUUGAUGCUGGUAACGGGCUUUCGGGGAAANGGUAAACAACGCUGCUUUAUAAACCGUAACCUGGGAGCCCAAACGGGAAGGCAAGGGGGGGGGACCGGGGCACCGGACCCCUUCCCGGGAUGGGGAUCGGGGGCACCCGUGAUCCGUUCCUGCUAACCACCAAAGGGAUGGUCCCAAUGGGACUAACCCUAAUUGUUUGAUUCUGCUGAGUCAGACCCUUGGCGAGGCGCAGGUUGCCGAGGGUCAAGGCGACAUACCUGGAUGCUGUGAAAAUCUCCGUUAGACGUACCCUUCGGGGUGGGUCUUGAAGGCUAGGGGUACCAGGCGUUUGCUAGUAGUACUGGCACGUGGAGGUCGGCUUCCCUACGGGGGGGCUGAUCGGGUAACAAUCCUCUCAGCUAAGGAAUCGAUCAGCACACGGACAAGGCAAUCCAGAGGGCCACCGAGCGGCAUCUCCCCAGGGGGAGCCUCCUCAAACGGUCUUCGGGCAAUGGUUGCUACGCGUGUCAAAGACUGGAAAGGUAUGGGUUUGGUUUUAGGUCUUCCCUAAAGCCCCAUAUGGCCACCCCCCCUUGGGGGGGAGGUCGGGGUUUGGGGGGGUACUAUUCCCGAGCUUAAGGAACAGUCUAAGCUUCGGUUCGGUCUCAGGACUGGACUGCCUUAGUCCCAUCAACCCACGACUGCAGGGUAAGGGGCUUUGGGGUUGGAUCAGGACGGAUGGGAAACACCACACCCCCCCCCCCUGGGGGGGGGGGAACGGUCGUAGUACUACCCUGAAUGGACCGAUCAGGCACCCAAUAGAACUGGCUUGUGGCCGCCAAGCGUUCAUAGCGACGUGGC